RNAcentral lists this ribosomal RNA (429 nucleotides) under Bacteroidota bacterium. RNAcentral's name for it is "Bacteroidetes bacterium partial 16S ribosomal RNA". It matches the Rfam family "Bacterial small subunit ribosomal RNA", at positions 355 to 776 of the family's 1533-position model. Lineage: Bacteria; Pseudomonadati; Bacteroidota. The record is from RNAcentral.
UAGGGAAUCUUCCGCAAUGGACGCAAGUCUGACGGAGCAACGCCGCGUGAGUGAAGAAGGAUUUCGGUUCGUAAAACUCUGUUGUUAGAGAAGAACAGCGCAUAGAGUAACUGUUAUGCGUGUGACGGUAUCUAACCAGAAAGCCACGGCUAACUACGUGCCAGCAGCCGCGGUAAUACGUAGGUGGCAAGCGUUGUCCGGAUUUAUUGGGCGUAAAGCGAGCGCAGGCGGUCAAUUAAGUCUGAUGUGAAAGCCCCCGGCUCAACCGGGGAGGGUCAUUGGAAACAGGUUGACUUGAGUGCAGAAGAGGAGAGUGGAAUUCCAUGUGUAGCGGUGAAAUGCGUAGAUAUAUGGAGGAACACCAGUGGCGAAGGCGACUCUCUGGUCUGUAACUGACGCUGAGGUUCGAAAGCGUGGGUAGCAAACAGG